RNAcentral lists this ribosomal RNA (791 nucleotides) under Microbacterium sp. D49-PB-A06. RNAcentral describes it as "bacterial SSU rRNA". It matches the Rfam family "Bacterial small subunit ribosomal RNA", at positions 41 to 846 of the family's 1533-position model. The record is from RNAcentral. Lineage: Bacteria; Bacillati; Actinomycetota; Actinomycetes; Micrococcales; Microbacteriaceae.
GGCGUGCUUAACACAUGCAAGUCGAACGGUGAAGGAGGAGCUUGCUUCUCUGGAUCAGUGGCGAACGGGUGAGUAACACGUGAGCAACCUGCCCCUGACUCUGGGAUAAGCACUGGAAACGGUGUCUAAUACUGGAUACGAGACGCGACCGCAUGGUCAGUGUCUGGAAAGAAUUUCGGUUGGGGAUGGGCUCGCGGCCUAUCAGCUUGUUGGUGAGGUAAUGGCUCACCAAGGCGUCGACGGGUAGCCGGCCUGAGAGGGUGACCGGCCACACUGGGACUGAGACACGGCCCAGACUCCUACGGGAGGCAGCAGUGGGGAAUAUUGCACAAUGGGCGAAAGCCUGAUGCAGCAACGCCGCGUGAGGGAUGACGGCCUUCGGGUUGUAAACCUCUUUUAGCAGGGAAGAAGCGAAAGUGACGGUACCUGCAGAAAAAGCGCCGGCUAACUACGUGCCAGCAGCCGCGGUAAUACGUAGGGCGCAAGCGUUAUCCGGAAUUAUUGGGCGUAAAGAGCUCGUAGGCGGUUUGUCACGUCUGCUGUGAAAUCUGGGGGCUCAACCCCCAGCCUGCAGUGGGUACGGGCAGACUAGAGUGCGGUAGGGGAGAUUGGAAUUCCUGGGUGUAGCGGUGGGAAUGCGCAGAUAUCAGGAGGAACACCGAUGGCGAAGGCAGAUCUCUGGGCCGUAACUGACGCUGAGGAGCGAAAGGGUGGGGAGCAAACAGGCCUAGAUACACUGGUAGUCCACCCCGUUAAACGUUGGGAACUAGUUUGUGGGGUCAUUCCACGGG